UCCACCUUGGCUCAGAUGGUAAAAUAUCUGCCUGCAAUGCAGGAGACCCAGGUUCGAUCCCUGGGUUGGAA
RNAcentral lists this transfer RNA (71 nucleotides) under Bos taurus (domestic cattle). It matches the Rfam family "tRNA". Rfam says of the family: Transfer RNA (tRNA) molecules are approximately 80 nucleotides in length. Their secondary structure includes four short double-helical elements and three loops (D, anti-codon, and T loops). RNAcentral also lists the same sequence under 4 other names. The record is from Rfam by way of RNAcentral. Lineage: Eukaryota; Metazoa; Chordata; Mammalia; Artiodactyla; Bovidae.